AACGAACGCUGGCGGCGUGCUUAACACAUGCAAGUCGAACGAGAAAGCACCUUCGGGUGUGAGUAGAGUGGCGCACGGGUGAGUAAUGCAUAGGAACGUACCUUUAGGAGGGGGAUAACCACAGGAAACUGUGGCUAAUACCGCGUAAUCUCGCAAGAGCAAAGGUGGCCUCUACUUGUAAGCUACCGCCUAAAGAUCGGCCUAUGUCCCAUUAGCUUGUUGGUGAGGUAACGGCCCACCAAGGCGACGAUGGGUAGCUGGUCUGAGAGGAUGAUCAGCCACACUGGGACUGAGACACGGCCCAGACUCCUACGGGAGGCAGCAGUGGGGAAUUUUGCACAAUGGGCGCAAGCCUGAUGCAGCAACGCCGCGUGAGUGAAGAAGGCUCUUGGGUCGUAAAGCUCUUUCGGCUGGGAAGCAGGGGUCAUGUAAAAAUAUUGCAUGGCUUUGACGGUACCAGAAGAAGAAGCACCGGCUAACUCCG
This 484-nucleotide ribosomal RNA is filed under the name uncultured delta proteobacterium. RNAcentral describes it as "bacterial SSU rRNA". It matches the Rfam family "Bacterial small subunit ribosomal RNA", at positions 29 to 505 of the family's 1533-position model. The record is from RNAcentral. Lineage: Bacteria; Deltaproteobacteria.